CAGGGAGACACAACCGAUCGUGAUGUCUGAGCGCUGAACAAACGAAAGUUUGGGAAGCACUUUUGUCUCAGGCCACGGUCCUGUCAUCUCGAAGGUCGAUCGGUACCUCAAGGUGAGCCAUCAAAGCCAAAGAGACGUCCAGAGAGCUCGAAAGAGCAGGAAGGACACUUUAAGGAUGUUGUGAUGGACUCGUUUUCAGUUCCUAAACUUUGUCUAGGUCACCCCACAAAGGGUUUCCCAAUCUUUCCAGGAUUCAGAGCUGUCAAAGGCUUUGCGAUCAAGGAAGAUGCAAGAGACUUGUGUCGAAGUGAUUGAUCCUGGGCCAUUAGCUCAGGUGGUUAGAGCGCACCCCUGAUAAGGGUGAGGUCCCUGGUUCAAGUCCAGGAUGGCCCAUUCGUGUUUGGGGGUUUAGCUCAGUUGGUAGAGCGCCUGCUUUGCGAGCAGGAUGUCAGCGGUUCGAGUCCGCUAACCUCCAUCCAACCAAGUGAAGACCACCAGCAGGAAACGGCAACAGGAUGCAUUUUGACCGGUGGGUGACAAAGACGAUGUUCAGCUGAGGACUCCAGCCUCUUUUCAUUCCCACGUGAUCACUUGUCAAACAAGGUAAGUGCGAUCAACGGUGGUUGAAAGGAAGCUGGACUCGCUGAUUUCGGCGCGAGCCAGGAAUCAGUGACUCUAGCAAAGAACCUUGACAACUGUAUAGGUAAGUCUGGAUAAAGAAAGCAUCUCAUAGAUGCCCAGACGGACGCAAACUUUACUUGGUACUGCCAAGUGAAGGGAAUGUCUGGCUGGGAGAUUCUUGAGUUUAGAGCCGAGAGCUUCCGGCGUCUUUUCUCUCCGCCGAGGAGAGAAGAGUUUGAUUCUGCCUUUCAAACCAUUGAAGCCUUAGUGAAAGCGGGAAACCGAUGAUCAAAGGGUGUAGAUAGGUGAAAGCAGAAGAAUGGGUCUCAACAACCCUGAACGUUGGGAGUGUUAAUU
Molecule: transfer RNA, 978 nt
Filed under: uncultured cyanobacterium
Lineage: Bacteria; Bacillati; Cyanobacteriota
Description: partial contains 16S ribosomal RNA, 16S-23S ribosomal RNA intergenic spacer, and 23S ribosomal RNA
Rfam family: tRNA (bases 403-475)
Source: RNAcentral